GGGGGCGUACCGGUUUCGACGGGGGCUUUGAAGCAUGGACAGCGAGUACAGGUGCGGAACCUGUAUAAAAUCCGCAACCUAAAAUAAACGCUAACAAUAACGUUAGAAAAGUAAACUUCAACAACAUGGCGGUAGCUGCGUAGUUUGAGUUUACUGCGCCGCAGUAUUGCGGCCCAUCCUGCUGUGUUUUACCACGGGCAUAGAUAGGGUGUCAUUUUAGUGGUCAACGCUUUUUAGCAGCGCUCCGGGCUGAUUAGCGUAUUAGGAGCUACCUGGGGCCGCAGUUUGUUUGCCGUCGGCGGCCUUGGGGAAACUUAAACGACAAACUGCACUCGGAGAGGUUCAUGUGAAUGGGUUUUCGGACAGGGGUUCAACUCCCCUCGCCUCCACCA
RNAcentral lists this transfer-messenger RNA (392 nucleotides) under Harryflintia acetispora. Its description in RNAcentral is "Standard tmRNA". It matches the Rfam family "transfer-messenger RNA". From Rfam's summary of the family: Bacterial tmRNA, also known as 10Sa RNA or SsrA, is named for its dual tRNA and mRNA-like properties. Its role is to liberate the mRNA from a stalled ribosome. To accomplish this part of the tmRNA is used as a reading frame that ends in a translation stop signal. RNAcentral also lists the same sequence under 1 other name. Lineage: Bacteria; Bacillati; Bacillota; Clostridia; Eubacteriales; Oscillospiraceae. The record is from RNAcentral.